GCCUGUAUCCACUGUUGCAUCAGAGUCCUCAUUUAGCACAGGUGGUAGAGUGAUUAUUCCAAAUCGAAAUAGACUUAAUCCUAAGACUUUGGAAGCAUUAAUGUGUACUCAAAGUUGGUUGGCUGCCCUUGAGAAUGGAGGUGAAGCAACAAUACCGGGAAAUCCUUUUCCAACUAUCAAUGAUGAUGAUAAGGACGUAGAGGAAUGUGUGUCUGGUGUAAGUUGUGUAACAUAUGUUGGUGUUGAUUGAUCAAGCACUUCAAGUUUCAAGUUUAGUAACUGCAUAUGCUGGGAAUCGACUGUUUGUGCUCCGUUUUUGAGAGUUCCCAAUGCUCUAGCUACUGCUCUUGUUUGUUUGAAACUGUUUGUAUUUCAAUUUGGUUUGUAAUGCACUAUGGCAGCAGCUGUGACUGUUUUAAUUUGGUUUGUAAUGGCUACCAUAAUGACACUACGGUAGCAGAUAUGUGACUCUUUUUAUUUCGAUUUGGUUUGUAAUGGCACUAUGGUUGCAACUGUGGCUGUUUUCCUCGGCAUUUGGUUUGUAAAUUGUAAUGGCAGCCUAGAUUUUUUUUUCUUUUC
Long non-coding RNA from Rhododendron vialii, 579 nucleotides. RefSeq lists it as uncharacterized. Lineage: Eukaryota; Viridiplantae; Streptophyta; Magnoliopsida; Ericales; Ericaceae. The record is from RefSeq and is a predicted model, not a curated record. The transcript is spliced from 3 exons.